RNAcentral lists this non-coding RNA (105 nucleotides) under Paenibacillus senegalensis. Its description in RNAcentral is "Glycine riboswitch". It matches the Rfam family "Glycine riboswitch aptamer". From Rfam's summary of the family: This family represents the bacterial glycine riboswitch. Glycine riboswitches usually consist of two metabolite-binding aptamers domains with similar structures in tandem. The record is from RNAcentral. Lineage: Bacteria; Bacillati; Bacillota; Bacilli; Caryophanales; Paenibacillaceae.
ACGCAACUCUGGAGAGCUUCCGGGCUGUAUGGCUUACGGAACACCCACGGGGAAACUUUAAACAUCGUUUAGAGGUAACUCUCAGGUAAAAGGACAGAGCGGGAA